Molecule: long non-coding RNA, 203 nt
Organism: Gopherus evgoodei (Goodes thornscrub tortoise)
Lineage: Eukaryota; Metazoa; Chordata; Testudines; Testudinidae
Exons: 4
Source: RefSeq, a predicted model, not a curated record
AGUGUAAGUGUAACCAAGCCCUAAGUUAUUUUCUGCAAAAAGCCCUACAGUUUUCAGGGGGUCAGUAGCCCCUGGAAUCACAGUUAAAGUUGUCUCCCGCCCCAGAAUCUGAAAUAGACCCUGGUGAGCCAGGAGCAGCCACAGGGCUGCAGGGUAUCUGGGGCUUCAGCAAGAUGCAGCCCCCGUGUGAGAGCACAAAGCCC